AAAUCGGACAAUGAAUUUAUAUAUUUAAUAACUGAUAAUUAAAAGUAAUUAUUUUGUUUUACGGAGCUCGUUAAUUAAAAUGUCAUCAGAUACUUUCUACAUUAUUUUAAUGAGCCUGCAAGUCUAACGGACAUAAAAACUCUAUUGUAUCAGAAAACGAGCAAAAAACGUCGAAUAGACUUUUUUUAUUCUUCUUGGGUUUUUCGUGGCCGUUAAAAAUUUCAUCACAAAUCUCGAUAAGUAACAUGUUUAAUUUGAAAAUAGCCGCAGCGUCAUUUAUGAAUGUUUCAAUUUAUAUUUUUUAUAUUUGUUAAAUAUACCGUUAAAAUACAGUGAAUCUUUCCAGCUCAAAGAAUUAUUCAAUCGUACGACUAUGACAAAAAUCAAUAAUAUUUUAAGCUUUGAGGGUCAAUGGCGUUAUAACUGCUCCAAUUUUUCGCUUCAUGCAGCUGAUAGUCAGAAAAAAACAUUAUAUAAGAAUUCAAGGUACCUUUGAGCCAUUAAAAGUUUUAGUCAGCAAAGUUUCGUCGGAUAGAGAGUUAUUUACUUGCGCGCACACUGUAGAGAUCGAGAUGUUUAAUAAUUCUACGUAAACCAGAAAGAGAUAAAAAAAUCACGCGCGCUUGUAGGUAAGAAAGUGAGAUCGAUCGAUCGCAUUCAUCCACCUUUCUGCGAGAGAAAGAGCGGGUCGUUGCACUUGUUGAUUGCUAUCUCCCUUUUUUCGACAGAACGACUCUCCUAACUUGUUGCAAGGUUACAGUUUUUCAUUUCCUCUUUUAUCUGUGCCUCGAGAAUCGAUCGUCGCGCAACUACGAGGCCUCGUUAUUUAUGGAAGACUCCCGCGAUCCGCUGCCUGUGCUGUGCUCUCUGCAUGGGAAUUCGUUAUAAAACUUCAAUCGUUCAUCGAUUGUUGCAUGGAUAAAUAAAAAGUACUCAGAAUUUUGUUAUUUUUAGAAAUUCUUUAUCGUUUAAUUAUGCAAUUCAAGUUAUUUUUGUGUUUUUGUUUUGUUUUAUCGUACAUCUUUUGCAAUCACUUUCGCACUUCUAUGCACUCUAAUCAGGACUUACUUUAAUAGUAAAAUAAUAAAAAAACGGCUUUACAUGUCAGCAUAUCUGUACUAUGCUUUUUUAAUAAAAAAAAAAAAAAAAA
This is a long non-coding RNA of Trichogramma pretiosum, 1150 nucleotides long. RefSeq lists it as uncharacterized. Lineage: Eukaryota; Metazoa; Arthropoda; Insecta; Hymenoptera; Trichogrammatidae. The transcript has 2 exons. The record is from RefSeq and is a predicted model, not a curated record.